GCUCAUCACUGCCUUAUAAUGGAAGGCCUGAAUCUUCCAUCACAAUGGACUGUCCUUUUGUAUCAACACCUUGGCCUGCACUCAAGACCAUUUUCUCCCUUAUAGUCCAGGAGACUCGAGUCUCCUUGAGAACAGGGGUUAUGGCUGGUUCCUCACUAUAUCUCAGUAUUCACCAGUUUGGCACCUACAAUUAAGUCUUUAAAAAAUGCUACUGAAUGAAUGGAUACCCUGACCUCAGAGGCACCCUACCUAUAUCAGAGAUCCUUCUGGACACCAACUCUCCUCUUUACAUUCAACUGGAUCAGCUUCCUUCCAAUUCCUACACUGUGAAACACGUUGGCCCUAUGCUGGUUAGACUCUCCUAUUUUAACUGGAGCUGGAACUGAGUUUUUUUUUCUUAAUCAGACUUGCAAAUACAUGAAGAGGAGCAGCCCUGCUACUCCAAAUAUGAGCACCGAGAGGAAGACUUGUUUGGGGUUCAUGACCAUUUCAGAUGGCUGCAUUUCUCCUCGUUUCUGAAGACCACAUGAUUUGUUUUUCCAUAGAGAUUGGAUCUUUUGUUCUAUUAAGUGCUCAUUCCAUGAAGUAACCUAGAAUUUUUAAAAAAUCCACAUUGUACCUUGCUCAUGAUAUUUCUUUCCCAAUAUAGCAUAAAUAAGCAGAGAUCAAUGAUAAUGAAGACGUACGUGAACUGGAAUGUUCUAAAGACAAAGACUGUAGGAGAUUGUCCCUAGAAUGGCAACUUUCUAUCAUAAUGUAAGGAAGAUAUCAUCCCAUGUGACUUCCUCUAUAACUCCUCCAGCGACUGCUCUACUGCUGUCAUUCCCAGAUGAGCCUGAAGACAGCACUCUGCCCUGGCUGUCUCAGAUGCCUCUUUUCCAGACAUCUCUCCACCCAUAGCUGUCCAGGAAGCCAGAAGAUGUGAGGAGGCUCACAAGUUGUAGACAUAGACAACAUGAUCUACUGGGUGUUAAGGGAACCAGAAGAAUCACUUUUCUAUCCUCAAUUCUUCCUGGCCUGAGGACCUUGUUAGUGACUCCUGUUUGGCAAACCCUGUUGAAAGCCUAUUUGGCAACCACUGUUGAAAGAGGAGAUCCUGCCAUUUGGGACAACACGGAUGAAACUUGAGGACAUUCUGCUAAGUGAAAGAAGUCAGACAGAGGACAAAUACUGAAUGACCUCACUCAUAUGUGGAAUCUAAAAAAGUCCCCUAAGCCCCAAAACUCAGAAAAACUUUUUAUGCAGCACAUUCUGGUAAGCCUCCCAAAUCACAAAGCAGGGUAGGGCAUGGUAGAGAUGGGAGAUAUCAAUUCUGUGUUCUUUAUGAAUUUCCCAAGAUAAUAUUCCUUAUCCUCAAAUAUUAAAAUUAUUCUUCUGUAUUUACUUUCAAAAGUUACAAAGUUCUGUUCCUCAUAUUUAGUACUUGAAUCCACCUGGAAUUUAUUUUAUGUACGUUGUAAGGCAUCCAUUCCAUACAGAUACCACUUGUCCAACUCUUAAUUGAGGUUAUCAUUUCACUACUGAUUUUUUUUUUGUUACACUACUGAUUUCUAAUGAUUUCUUAUAUUUCAAAUUCUUAUAUGUUUGUUACUGCUUCUAGAUACUAUUCUGUUCUAUUGGUCCAAUGUCAUAUGUUUGUAUGAACAUCUGGGCCUAUCUUGGAGGGAUGGAAAAUGAAUCUGAUUACUGAUUUAAUUUUCUUAAUGGUUAUUUGUUUAUUCAUUCUACUUUUUUGAGCCAGCUUUAGAAAAUUACAUUGCCCACACAAUUAUCAUUUCCUUUGGGUUUCCAAAUGUACCAGCAUAAAGUUGUUCAUGGGAUUUUAUGAUUUUAAAGAUCUUUCAUAGCCUUAGGUAAGCCACCUCUCCAUUCCUAAUAUUAUGUACUUGUGUUUCUUUUCUUUGAUCAUUCUUGCUAGAGAUUUGUCUGUUUUGCUUAAAAGUAUAUUGCAAUUCCUCUCUCUUUU
Molecule: long non-coding RNA, 1966 nt
Organism: Canis lupus familiaris (dog)
Lineage: Eukaryota; Metazoa; Chordata; Mammalia; Carnivora; Canidae
Exons: 4
Source: RefSeq, a predicted model, not a curated record